Molecule: long non-coding RNA, 813 nt
Filed under: Marmota monax (woodchuck)
Lineage: Eukaryota; Metazoa; Chordata; Mammalia; Rodentia; Sciuridae
Source: RNAcentral
UUCUGGUAUAAUUCCUAAGUCUUUGAUUCAUUUUGAUUUGAGUUCUGUGUGGGGUGAGAGACAGGGGUCUAGUUUCAUUUUUCUACAUGUAGCUAUCCAGUUUUCCAAGCAUAAUUUGUUAAAAAGGGUAUCUUUUCUCCAAAAUAUAUUUUUGGCACCUUUGACAAGUAUCAGAUGGCUGAAGAUAUGUGGAUUUCUCUCUGUGUUUUCUAUUCUGUUCUGUUGGUCUUUUAUUUUGAUUACACCAUGGUGUUUUUGUUAACUGCUCUGUAUAAUUUCAGAUCAGGUAUUGUGACGCCUCCUGCUUUGGUUUUUCUUGCUUAGGAAAAAUGUUUUUCCUUCUGUCCUUAUUCUGGUCUCUUAUUCUUCCAAAUGAAUUUUUAUUUAUUUUUUUUAAUUCUGUGAAGAAAGUCAUUGAUAUUUUUAUGGAGAUUGCAUUGAAUCUGUACAUUGAUUUUGGUUGUAUGGCCAUUUUUUACAAUAUUAAAUUUGCUUACCUAAGAACAUGAAAUGUCUUUCCACCUUCUCUGGUCUUCUUCAGUUUCUUUGUUCAAUGUCUAUAAUUUUCACUGUAGAGCUCUUUUACUUCCUUGGCUAGAUUAAUUCCCAUUUUUUUAAUGUUAUUAAGAAUGGAAAGUUUUCCUGAAUUCUUUCUCAGCUGAAUCACUGUUGGAGUAUAGGAAAACUAUUGAUUUAUGGGUGUUGAUCUUAUAUCCUGCUGCUUUGCUGCACUCAUUUAUAAGUCUUCUGGUGGAGUUUUUUGGGGUCUUCUAGAUAUAGUAUCCUUUCAUCAGCAAACAGAGAAAGUUUGAC